Cebus imitator (Panamanian white-faced capuchin) is the source of this 393-nucleotide long non-coding RNA. RefSeq lists it as uncharacterized. The record is from RefSeq and is a predicted model, not a curated record. Lineage: Eukaryota; Metazoa; Chordata; Mammalia; Primates; Cebidae. The transcript has 2 exons.
GAAAACAAGCCCAAGGCGGUUGCGACUGACGGGUGUGACUGGCGGGCGACAUGGGCUAGAAUUGCUUUCGAGCGCUUAGCAGAUCCCAGCGCCACGCACUCUCCAGUGCUUCAGUGUCCGGGCUGGAGUGCAAUGGUGCAACCUCAGCUCACCGCAGCCUCCGCCUCCCGGGUUCAAGCAAUUCUCCUGCCUCAGAUUUGUUGUUGUCUGUAAACAAUGAGACUAAUUGCAGGCCACCACUUCAUUUACAUGGGGUGAACACCAAGUGGCCAAUGGAAACCCCUAAGGGGUGUUUGGACCCCAGAAGUUUCUAUAUCCAGGCCCUUAAGCUGCUUCUUGGCCGGCUCCCACACUGUGAAGUGUACUUUCAAUAAAUCUCUGCUUUUGUUGCUU